Molecule: ribosomal RNA, 878 nt
Filed under: Morganella subincarnata
Lineage: Eukaryota; Fungi; Basidiomycota; Agaricomycetes; Agaricales; Lycoperdaceae
Description: partial large subunit ribosomal RNA
Rfam family: Eukaryotic large subunit ribosomal RNA
Source: RNAcentral
GGAUUCCCCUAGUAACUGCGAGUGAAGCGGGAAAAGCUCAAAUUUAAAAUCUGGCAGUCUAUGGCUGUCCGAGUUGUAAUCUAGAGAAGUUAUGUGCCCGCGCUGGACCGUGUACAAGUCUCCUGGAAUGGAGCGUCAUAGAGGGUGAGAAUCCCGUCUCUGACACGGACUACCAGGGCUUUGUGGUACGCUCUCAAAGAGUCGAGUUGUUUGGGAAUGCAGCUCUAAAUGGGUGGUAAAUUCCAUCUAAAGCUAAAUAUUGGCGAGAGACCGAUAGCGAACAAGUACCGUGAGGGAAAGAUGAAAAGAACUUUGGAAAGAGAGUUAAACAGUACGUGAAAUUGCUGAAAGGGAAACGCUUGAAGUCAGUCGCGUUAGCUGGGAAUCAGCCUCGCUAUUGCGUGGUGUACUUUCUGGUUGACGGGUCAGCAUCAAUUUUGACUGCUGGAAAAAGGCCUUGGGAAUGUGGCAGCUUCGGCUGUGUUAUAGCCUUUGGUCACAUACAGCGGUUGGGAUUGAGGAACUCAGCACGCCGCAAGGCCGGGUUUCGACCACGUCCGUGCUUAGGAUGCUGGCAUAAUGGCUUUAAGCGACCCGUCUUGAAACACGGACCAAGGAGUCUAACAUGCCUGCGAGUGUUUGGGUGGUAAACCCGAGUGCGUAAUGAAAGUGAAAGUUGAGAUCCCUGUCGUGGGGAGCAUCGACGCCCGGACUUGAACUUUUGUGACGGAUCCGCGGUAGAGCAUGUAUGUUGGGACCCGAAAGAUGGUGAACUAUGCCUGAAUAGGGUGAAGCCAGAGGAAACUCUGGUGGAGGCUCGUAGCGAUUCUGACGUGCAAAUCGAUCGUCAAAUUUGGGUAUAGGGGCGAAAGACUAAU